This is a long non-coding RNA of Ctenocephalides felis (cat flea), 532 nucleotides long. RefSeq lists it as uncharacterized. The record is from RefSeq and is a predicted model, not a curated record. The transcript is spliced from 3 exons. Lineage: Eukaryota; Metazoa; Arthropoda; Insecta; Siphonaptera; Pulicidae.
AAAAACUGAUAUAAAUUGCUUUUCAAUUGUAGAGAAAGAGUGCUCAUAACCCCUAUGGGUUAUGUCAAAAUGGAAUUCAAACUAGGGAAAUUUGCUCUAAUCAAGAAGAUAAAUUGUCACCAAAGAAACAAGCAAGACUUAAAAACAUUCAAGAAGGAAAACAAAGAAUGCACCGCAUAUCACACAUUAUAUGGAUUAAGUGUUGAAGAGAACAUGAAUUGUUGAGUAUUUCGAGCCUGAUGAUCUUGCAUUACAGAAUUGGUAAUUCAGAUCUUGAAAAUUAAUAGGAUAAAAUCAAUGCAAGAAAAUUGAGUGUGUGUUCAUGGAAUAAUUAUCUCUGUCAUAUGAUCGUAGGAACUACAUAGUCAUUAACUUCAAAUAAUGAGUAUGUUUAGAGAUACAUUAACAGAUGCAAGUGAGUUGAACAUAUUUAACGCAAGACUUAACUUUGCCAAGUCUGAUUUAACUGAAGUUGCCAAGAGAGUUAAACAUAAUACAUAUUAUGAAUAAAUAAAUAAUUAUUUUUAUAGGC